This is an RNA transcript of Uranotaenia lowii, 3576 nucleotides long. It is a transcript of the gene named tubulin glycylase 3A-like, with no coding region annotated. The transcript is spliced from 5 exons. The record is from RefSeq and is a predicted model, not a curated record. NCBI's taxonomy places the organism in Eukaryota, Metazoa, Arthropoda, Insecta, Diptera, Culicidae.
ACCGUUCGGAGGUAGCUCGGAAAAAGGAAGCCCGCAAACCGGAAGUAGCAGCAGUUGUAUAAGUGACAGCAGCAGCAGCAGCAACUUGGAUCAGUGUGGAGUGUGAGGUCCCCAGCAAGAGAGUUCGGGGUGUGGGUGGUUCAUUUGGAUUGGAUUGGUGCAACCGGAACUGGGACAGCGUGGGAUGAGUUUGAAGGAUACGCGCCGCGCGAGGAAUGUUUCGAUGGAAGAAUGGGGUGAAAGUGAAUUUCACUGAGUGAUACAGAUAGUGGCUUCCGGGUGGAUUUCAAUACGAAUUCCAUUGACCGAAGUGCGCGCGGGCCAGUGAUCGGCGACGCGAAAUAGCUUGCUGCAAAUAUUUAGGAAUAUUAUACGAAUGGGCGUGCAAGGGUUGUUCAACUGACUUUCCGGGAAUAGGUUUUGGGCCGAUUGCCUAAGAGAACGGAAUUCCGUGCUGGCAUAGAUAUUAGAGUUUGUGUUUUAUCAUUAUUGUUUCUUUUGAUUAUUGGGAAAUGAGGUUUCUUAUGCCACAGUUUCUUUGAUGAUGGAGGACGAAAUAAUUGCGUGUAGUCUGAGCAGUAGUAGCAACAGCAGUACAAACGGUGAUAGUGAUAAAUGCUCCGAUGCUAGUAGCAGCACCAGCGAAAAGGAUAACGAAAGUGAAAACGACAAGGAUAUUAACGACAGGAGUCGUCCACGUGGCUCGACGGCGAAGUUGGCGUCCGGCGGUGUGGCAAAUGCCGAUAGGACAAAUGGGGCAAAAAGCAAAUCUGGAACCAAUAGUAGCAGUAGCAGUAGUGGCAACGAGGAUGAAAAAGAGGUCAAAGUGACGACUUCGAAGCACAUCGAAGGAAAUGUAGGUCCAUUAACGGCUACGGUUAAAUUCAUCAAUCCGUUCAAAAAUAACUGGAUCAACGCGGACCGGCUAAACGAACUCCGGAAGAAGGUGUCCGAUGCCGCGAAACACCACCGGGUAUUUUUGGUGCGCGGCUCAUUUCACACGGUACGCCGAGCCUUGGUCGAACGAGGUUGGGUGGAAAAGCUUGACGGAUUUCGGGCAAAACCCCAAGCCAACACUUCUUCCUCCGGCUUCAUUAUCGAGGACCUCAUUCAACAGCUCCCGGAACGCAAGCCUGGUGAGUCGCGAAAGAACCAUAUCGUUAAGUGCGAACGCAGCAUUAUGUCCCGUUUCCUGGAACACACUCCGAUCGAUCUUCUCUGGACGGCCCGUCGAGAGAAAGCCGAUUGGAUUGACAUGACCAAGAAUGCCUCGCUCAUAAUCAAUCGAUUCAACAAGGCCCCUUUCACCACCAAGGAAGGUCUGUGUUCCGCCCUCCACGAUUUCCACUGGUUCUACGAGGAAGGUAUGUCCGAAACGUACUUCCCUCGGUGCUACAACGUGUGGAAUCCGGAGGAGCUCAACGAAUUCGUCGAAAAUUUUCGUCUAACUGCGUCCAUGGGUCUGCUGAAGUGGCUUAUCGAGACCCACGCCAAAAACGGAAUGGAAGCUAUUCUUUCGGACGACGGGAAGGUUCCGGGAUCCUGUAUCAACUUUGCCGUUAGUCGCUGCAAAGAAUAUCUCGACUAUUGCCUUCACAAUGACAUCGACAUCGAGGACGACAUGAAGAUCUGGGAUCACGAUUGGGAUGUGUUCCUCACUCAUCACUAUCUGUUGACGCACGAAAGCGCAAGGAUUCAGCUGACAAAAGAUGGAGAUGUGGCAAAAGUCAUUGAAGAUCACCUCAAGAGUGCCGUAUCCUUACUGGAACAGAUUAAAAACCACUGGCCUCAGUAUGCCCUAGAUGGGUUCCUCAAUAUAUGGAUAGUGAAGCCGGGCAAUAAAUGUCGAGGUCGAGGUAUUCAUUUGAUGAACAAUAUCAAACAGAUCAUUACCAUGGUCAAUCCACCGAUUGUGAGCAAAACGAGAUACGUGAUACAGAAGUAUAUCGAAAGACCCCUCAUAAUUCACAACACCAAGUUUGACAUCCGGCAAUGGUUCAUGAUAACCAGCGUUCAACCGCUGAUCAUUUGGUUCUACAAAGAAAGCUACCUCCGCUUCAGUUCGCAACAGUACAAUCUGAUGAAUUACCACGAAUCGGUUCAUCUGACAAAUCACGCGAUCCAGAAAAAGUACCACAACGCGGUCCGGGACGAACGAUUGCCACACGAAAACAUGUGGGACUGCCACACGUUUCAAGCCUAUCUGAGGCAGAUUGGCAAAUACGAAAUGUGGUCCGACAGGAUUUAUCCGGGUAUGCAGAAAGCAAUAAUCGGUACAUUGUUGGCCUGUCAGGAAAACAUGGAUAGGAGGCCAAACACCUUUGAGUUGUAUGGGGCGGAUUUCAUGAUCACUGAGGACUUCUUCCCAUGGUUGAUUGAGAUCAACUCUAGCCCGGAUCUUGCUCCGAGUACGAGCGUAACGGCAAGGCUGUGCCCACAAUGUGUUGAAGAUACGAUUCGAGUUGUGAUAGAUCGUCGUCACGAUCCGAAUGCGGCAACCGGUUCAUUUGAACUUAUCUACAAACAAGUCAUUCCCAAAACUCCUGCUUACAUGGGUCUGAACCUUCAACUUCGAGGUCAUCGUAUAACCCCGAAGGUACCGGUGAAGAAAGAUCGUAUUCGAAUACUGCCCGUUAAGCCGGUUCAACAAGUUCUGCAGGUAUCGCGUAUGACAGCAUCUGCUGUUCCAAAACCUACCACAGGACCCGUCAUCAUGGAUCUCCUCGAAUGUCUCCAGUUCGAUACCAAAUCACAUCUGGAGGAUGAAGAUGGACGAGCUAGAACAUCAAUGUACCGGAAAGCUAUGUUUUCACCCCGACCAAAUCUGCGAUAUGAUUUUGCCAAGAAAAAAUCCUACAUUUUUGCCAAAACUGGGGAUUUGUUUCGACGUAAUGGUGGUCCCAGAUACUUGACAGAAAACGAAACUUAUAUUGAUAAUAUUGAAGACUGGGAACGAGCUACGACCAGCUUUUUCCAGCACAACUACGCCAACACCUUGAAAUCACUAGCUGUUGGUCGACCUAGCAAUACGCCAACGGGUAAUACUGCCGACAUGCAACAACACACGGGUGCAUCCUCUUCAACGUCGAAUCCUAGUUUAAGAUGCUGCCCGAUCAAAGCUACUCUCUACAAUCCCAACGGAUAUUGUGAUGAAGCAUUAGAUAGCGACCAAAUCACUGCCACAAAUAACGAAAACAAUGCCACCAACAACUUUAAUAGAUAUAUCAAAUUAACCCCAAAUACCAACAAGGUUGCGCUAACGUCGUCCCUGAACAAUUUCUACACCCUUGGGCUGUGUCGGAGUCCGAAGAACGGCACACCCGGAAGCAGAAGUCCGAGGACAACCACCCGAGCAGGCCCCAAUUUAGCACAAUCAACCGAAGACUUAGUUCAGUUAGGAAAUAAUAGUUAACCCGCCCCCAUUAUCGUACACGUGAUCGUUGGUGAUGAGUCCGUAUCAUGCCUCGUAGUGCUUCUAAAUUACCGUUGUUGUCUAAAUCGUAACUCGUUACAUCGUAAGAAUAGUAAACCAAAUCAUAGUGAAAUAGUACUAAGCAAAUGCAUCUGAAAGUUAAA